AUUGAACGCUGGCGGCAGGCCUAACACAUGCAAGUCGAGCGGAUGAAGGGAGCUUGCUCCUGGAUUCAGCGGCGGACGGGCGAGUAAUGCCUAGGAAUCUGCCUGGUCGUGGGGGAUAACGUCCGGAAACGGGCGCUAAUACCGCAUACGUCCUGAGGGGGAAAGUGGGGGAUCUUCGGACCUCACGCUAUCAGAUGAGCCUAGGUCGGAUUAGCUAGUUGGUGGGGUAAAGGCCUACCAAGGCGACGAUCCGUAACUGGUCUGAGAGGAUGAUCAGUCACACGGGAACUGAGACACGGUCCCGACUCCUACGGGAGGCAGCAGUGGGAAAUAUUGGACAAUGGGCGAAAGCCUGAUCCAGCCAUGCCGCGUGUGUGAAGAAGGUCUUCGGAUUGUAAAGCACUUUAAGUUGGGAGGAAGGUCAGUAAGUUAAUACCUUGCUGUUUUGACGUUACCAACAGAAUAAGCACCGGCUAACUUCGUG
This 484-nucleotide ribosomal RNA is filed under the name uncultured bacterium. RNAcentral's name for it is "partial 16S ribosomal RNA". It matches the Rfam family "Bacterial small subunit ribosomal RNA", at positions 30 to 507 of the family's 1533-position model. The record is from RNAcentral.